CAGUCGCCACGGGAAUACGAAGGGUGCAAGCGUUACUCGGAAUUACUGGGCGUAAAGCGUGCGUAGGUGGUGGUUUAAGUCCGUUGUGAAAGCCCUGGGCUCAACCUGGGAAUUGCAGUGGAUACUGGGUCACUAGAGUGUGGUAGAGGAUAGUGGAAUUUCCGGUGUAGCAGUGAAAUGCGUAGAGAUCUGGAGGAAUACCGAUGGCGAAGGCAGCCAUCUGGCCUAAUACUGACGCUGAGGUACGAAAGCAUGGGGAGCAAACAGGAUUAGAUACCCCCGUAGUCCCUGUCUCUUAUAC
RNAcentral lists this ribosomal RNA (301 nucleotides) under uncultured bacterium. RNAcentral's name for it is "partial 16S ribosomal RNA". It matches the Rfam family "Bacterial small subunit ribosomal RNA", at positions 509 to 807 of the family's 1533-position model. The record is from RNAcentral.